CCAUUGUCAUGGUGAAACUAGAUGAAAAAUGGAUGAAGAAUGGAAAAGAAAACUCUAGAUAAGAUGAAAAGGAGCCUAAGCAUCCAAGAGAUCCUCUCCAGAGAGUGAAUUUAGGUCUGGUCGCCCCCUUCUGUCAAAAGAAUGCAUCUAAACUCGCAAUAGGGCUAUUUAUAGGUGAGGAGCGCAACAGAAAACAGGCCCAAGCCCAGCAGACAACCGCCCGACAGAACAAGUGUGGCGCCCC
This 244-nucleotide long non-coding RNA is filed under the name Vigna radiata. RNAcentral describes it as "long non-coding RNA (VRAD_LNC008150)". The record is from RNAcentral. Lineage: Eukaryota; Viridiplantae; Streptophyta; Magnoliopsida; Fabales; Fabaceae.